RNAcentral lists this transfer RNA (92 nucleotides) under Buchnera aphidicola (Macrosiphum euphorbiae). RNAcentral's name for it is "tRNA-Ser". It matches the Rfam family "tRNA". Rfam says of the family: Transfer RNA (tRNA) molecules are approximately 80 nucleotides in length. Their secondary structure includes four short double-helical elements and three loops (D, anti-codon, and T loops). Lineage: Bacteria; Pseudomonadati; Pseudomonadota; Gammaproteobacteria; Enterobacterales; Erwiniaceae. The record is from RNAcentral.
GGUGAGAUGGCCGAGAGGAUGAAGGCGCUCCCCUGCUAAGGGAGUAUGCAGAAAAAUCUGCAUCGAGGGUUCGAAUCCCUCUCUCACCGCCA